RNAcentral lists this long non-coding RNA (524 nucleotides) under Bos mutus (wild yak). RNAcentral describes it as "lncRNA (ENSBMUG00000026837.1)". Lineage: Eukaryota; Metazoa; Chordata; Mammalia; Artiodactyla; Bovidae. The record is from RNAcentral.
GGGUCUCACAACAAACAUCCUUUUUAUUUGACCCAUCACAAGGCAUUUCACAAAAUCUUUAUUUGGUGUAAUGUAACUUUAGAAUUUCUCAGUUUAAAAGAUAACUGCUAUGUUACUAAUUUACGUAGAGUGGUAGAGAGGAUUAUUGACUAUUUGCAGAAUGAAGAGUUCAGAGAGGAAAUAAAUGAAGAAGUGAAAUGACGAAGACGAUAAAGGAGCAAGGAAUUUUUAUUUGGUCAAAGGCUAGAACAAGUUAUCAUACUUACAGGGAGGAAAGAAGGACUGAAAUGAGGGCCUCUACUUCAGAGAACAGGGGUGAAGUUGCCAGGCAUGACUGUCCGUCACCCAGGAGACAAAGCCCCACCCAUAAAGUGGUGACUCGAGGCGCAAGGGAGUCCGGCGAGAAGUGUGGCGGGCCCAGGUUGCUGCCAGUUCUUUUAGGAUCACCGAGCAGGGUACGCCUUCCCCUGCCCCAAGAUGUGUCAUGGAUUUCGGCUUUUCUGGGACUACCUGAGUGGCUGUGA